CUAAACUACCGUCCUGCAGUAGGGAGAGGAGCGUGGAUUACUGCAGUAGUGUGAAUGAAGUAGUAUCGUGAGGCACACCUGUGGCGGAAGAGGCGGACUCGACGAUCACUAACGUGAGUGAGCGAAGAUAGGUGAGGAGCAAGCAUAGAUAGCCUGGUAGUCCUAGCCAGCAAUGAUGGAUGCGUGGUGUGCCCGGUACCCAAUCCGGGCUGUGCCGAAGCUAACGCGAUAAGCAUCCCGCGUGGGGGAGUGCGGUCGCAAGGCUGAAACUCAAAGGAAUUGACGGGGGCCCGCACAAGCGCUGGAGCAUGUGGUUCACUUUGACGCAACGCGAAGAACCUUUCCUGGGCUCGAAGCACAGUGGACAGCAGUGGAAACAUCCCUUUUUUCAAGCACUGCAGUGGAGGUGAUGCAUGGCAGUGGUCAGCUCAUGUCGUGAGAUGUUGGGUUAAGUCAAGUAACGAGCGCAACCCUUAUCUUUAGUUGCCAGCGGGUCAACCAGGGCACUCUAGAGAAACCGCCUUGGAUAACGGGGAGGAAGGUGGGGAGGAGGUCAAGUCUUCAUGGCCUUUAUGUCCAGGGGUACACACGUGUUACAAUGGCCGGUACAAACAGUGGCAAACCCGCGAGGGGGAGAUAAUAGGAAAAAACAGGCCUCAGUUUGGAUUGGAGUGUGCAACUCUACUCCAUGAAGCUGGAAUAGCUAGUAAUAGCAGAUCAGCACGCUGCGGUGAAUACGUUUCCGGGCCUUGUACACACCGCCCGUCACAUCACGAAAAUGGAGUGCAUUAGAAGCCGGUGCGCUAACCCGCAAGGGGAGCAGCCGUCCAAGGUAUGGUUCAUGAUUGGGGUGAAGUCGUAACAAGGUAACC
This 872-nucleotide ribosomal RNA is filed under the name uncultured soil bacterium. Its description in RNAcentral is "bacterial SSU rRNA". It matches the Rfam family "Bacterial small subunit ribosomal RNA", at positions 628 to 1501 of the family's 1533-position model. The record is from RNAcentral.